Capsicum annuum is the source of this 791-nucleotide long non-coding RNA. RefSeq lists it as uncharacterized. The transcript is spliced from 3 exons. NCBI's taxonomy places the organism in Eukaryota, Viridiplantae, Streptophyta, Magnoliopsida, Solanales, Solanaceae. The record is from RefSeq and is a predicted model, not a curated record.
AGUCAAGUUUCAAUACGAAUAUCGGAUACCGAAUGAAAACAGGAGUGAAAAUAUGACAAUCAAUUUAGAAGUUAAUAUCAAAGCAGUGGUUAGUUAAAAUGUGGUGUGGGAAUGAGGGAAGGGAAGGUCCAAGAGAGCAAAAAUGCGCAUAGCCUUCCACCAAAAUACAUGUGUCAAAUUCUUGGGCAACACGUUAAGCAAAGAACCUUAUUGUCUCUCUUACUCUUGUCACCUUCCCAUUUCUUAGGGGCCAAAAAAUUCAGUAGUAGCACAUUUCCACGUUCCCUUUUUCUGUCCUCUCUCCAUCUUUCUCUUUGUACAACUCACCCCCACGUUCUUCCUCUCUCUACGCAACAGCAAAUCUCAGGUUGCAGAGAAGGCUGCGUAAGUUGAAAGCAAAAUGCAUAGAGUAACGGUGAUCGAGAGAUUUUCUAAAACUUUCCGUGAUAAUCCUUCGCUUUCUAAGCUGCUCAUUGUUUUUACUGUCAGUUUUCUUCCGGCUUGGGGAAUGCUAAAUGCUAUACUGUAGACUGUGGAGAUGUGCAAGUCAAGAUAUAAAGCUUUGUAAAUCAAAGGUGAAUAUAGCAUAAAGAACUGGGAAUUGAGGACCGAGGCUGCAAUGAGAGUUCAUCUGAUGAGAUAUAUGCUUCGCUUCAUUUCCCACCGUUCUGUACUAAAUCAGUAAAUAUGGCAUGUUCUUUUAGUACAUCCAUACCUGGAAUCCUUUUGUGUAUAAGUGCUACAAAAUUUCCUUUUGUGUAUAAAUGCUACAAAAUUUUGGUAUUUGAUUA